ACGGGUGAGUAAUACAUCGGAACGUGUCCUGUAGUGGGGGAUAGCCCGGCGAAAGCCGGAUUAAUACCGCAUACGCUCUACGGAGGAAAGGGGGGGAUCUUAGGACCUCUCGCUACAGGGGCGGCCGAUGGCAGAUUAGCUAGUUGGUGGGGUAAAGGCCUACCAAGGCGACGAUCUGUAGCUGGUCUGAGAGGACGACCAGCCACACUGGGACUGAGACACGGCCCAGACUCCUACGGGAGGCAGCAGUGGGGAAUUUUGGACAAUGGGCGCAAGCCUGAUCCAGCAAUGCCGCGUGUGUGAAGAAGGCCUUCGGGUUGUAAAGCACUUUUGUCCGGAAAGAAAACCUCGUGGUUAAUACCCGUGGGGGAUGACGGUACCGGAAGAAUAAGCACCGGCUAACUACGUGCCAGCAGCCGCGGUAAUACGUAGGGUGCAAGCGUUAAUCGGAAUUACUGGGCGUAAAGCGUGCGCAGGCGGUUCGCUAAGACAGAUGUGAAAUCCCCGGGCUUAACCUGGGAACUGCAUUUGUGACUGGCGGGCUAGAGUAUGGCAGAGGGGGGUAGAAUUCCACGUGUAGCAGU
RNAcentral lists this ribosomal RNA (584 nucleotides) under uncultured bacterium. Its description in RNAcentral is "bacterial SSU rRNA". It matches the Rfam family "Bacterial small subunit ribosomal RNA", at positions 102 to 682 of the family's 1533-position model. The record is from RNAcentral.